AAGCUCGUAGUUGAAUUUCGGGGUUAGUAGGUUGGUCAUGCCUCUGGUAUGUACUGGUCUCACUGAUUCCUCCUUCCUUAUGAACCGUAAUGCCAUUAAUUUGGUGUUGCGGGGGAAUUUGGACUGUUACUUUGAAAAAACUUAGAGUGUUUAAAAGCAAGCUAACGCUUGAAUACAUUAGCAUGGAAUAAUGAAAUAGGACGUUCGAUCUUAUUUUAGUUUGGUUCUCUAGGAUUGACGUAAUGAUUAAUAGGGAUAGUUGGGU
Molecule: ribosomal RNA, 265 nt
Filed under: uncultured Glomus
Lineage: Eukaryota; Fungi; Glomeromycota; Glomeromycetes; Glomerales; Glomeraceae
Description: partial 18S ribosomal RNA
Rfam family: Eukaryotic small subunit ribosomal RNA
Source: RNAcentral